Molecule: ribosomal RNA, 441 nt
Filed under: uncultured bacterium
Lineage: Bacteria
Description: partial 16S ribosomal RNA
Rfam family: Bacterial small subunit ribosomal RNA
Source: RNAcentral
CCUACGGGAGGCAGCAGUGGGGAAUAUUGCACAAUGGGGGAAACCCUGAUGCAGCGACGCCGCGUGAGUGAAGAAGUAUUUCGGUAUGUAAAGCCCUAUCAGCAGGGAAGAACAAUGACGGUACCUGACUAAUAAGCACCGGCUAAAUACGUGCCAGCAGCCGCGGUAAUACGUAUGGUGCAAGCGUUAUCCGGAUUUACUGGGUGUAAAGGGAGCGCAGGCGGCGCGUUAAGCCUGGUGUGAAAGUCCGCGGCCCAACCGCGGGACUGCAUUGGGAACUGGCGCGCUGGAGUGCCGGAGGGGUAGGCGGAAUUCCUAGUGUAGCGGUGAAAUGCGUAGAUAUUAGGAGGAACACCAGUGGCGAAGGCGGCCUACUGGACGGUGACUGACGCUGAGGCUCGAAAGCGUGGGGAGCAAACAGGAUUAGAUACCCGGGUAGUC